UGGUCUAAAGGUAUUAAGUUAUCUCAAUUGAUUGCUCACUCUCGGUUACAGAUCAAACUCCCUGUUCUACUCUUUCCCCCCUUCUCACUACUGCACUUGACCAAGAAUUAA
Molecule: unclassified non-coding RNA, 111 nt
Organism: Mustela putorius furo (domestic ferret)
Lineage: Eukaryota; Metazoa; Chordata; Mammalia; Carnivora; Mustelidae
Rfam family: Y RNA
About the family: Y RNAs are components of the Ro ribonucleoprotein particle (Ro RNP), in association with Ro60 and La proteins. The Y RNAs and Ro60 and La proteins are well conserved, but the function of the Ro RNP is not known.
Source: Ensembl